GAGGGUACAGCUCAGUGGUACAGCACGUGUGUAGCAUGCAUGAGGUCCUGGGUUCAAUCCUCAGUACCUCCA
This 72-nucleotide transfer RNA is filed under the name Camelus bactrianus (Bactrian camel). It matches the Rfam family "tRNA". Rfam says of the family: Transfer RNA (tRNA) molecules are approximately 80 nucleotides in length. Their secondary structure includes four short double-helical elements and three loops (D, anti-codon, and T loops). RNAcentral also lists the same sequence under 1 other name. Lineage: Eukaryota; Metazoa; Chordata; Mammalia; Artiodactyla; Camelidae. The record is from Rfam by way of RNAcentral.